AGAGUUUGAUCCUGGCUCAGGACGAACGCUGGCGGCGUGCCUAACACAUGCAAGUCGAGCGGGGACUAUGGAGGAGUAAUCUGAGAUAGUUCGAGCGGCGGACGGGUGAGUAACGCGUGAGCAACCUGUCCUUGUCUGGGGGAUAAGGAGCCGAAAGGCUCUCUAAUACCGCAUGAGACCACAGCGCCACAUGGUGCAGAGGUCAAAGGAGAAAUCCGGACAAGGGUGGGCUCGCGUCUGAUUAGCUAGUUGGUGGGGUAACAGCUUACCAAGGCAACGAUCAGUAGCCGACCUGAGAGGGUGAUCGGCCACAUUGGAACUGAGACACGGUCCAAACUCCUACGGGAGGCAGCAGUGGGAAUAUUGGGCAAUGGGCGAAAGCCUGACCCAGCAACGCCGCGUGAAGGAAGAAGGUUUUCGGAUCGUAAACUUCUAUCCUAGGUGAAGAUAAUGACGGUAGCCUAGAAGGAAGCCCCGGCUAACUACGUGCCAGCAGCCGCGGUAAUACGUAGGGGGCAAGCGUUGUCCGGAAUGAUUGGGCGUAAAGGGCGCGUAGGCGGCCAUGUAAGUCCGACGUGAAAGUCCUACUUUUAAGGUGGGAAUUGCGUUGGAAACUGCGUGGCUUGAGUGCAGGAGAGGUAAGUGGAAUUCCCGGUGUAGCGGUGAAAUGCGUAGAGAUCGGGAGGAACACCAGUGGCGAAGGCGACUUACUGGACUGUAACUGACGCUGAGGCGCGAAAGUGUGGGGAGCAAACAGGAUUAGAUACCCUGGUAGUCCACACUGUAAACGAUGAAUGCUAGGUGUAGGGGGUAUCGACCCCUUCUGUGCCGGAGUAAACACAAUAAGCAUUCCGCCUGGGGAGUACGGCCGCAAGGUUGAAACUCAAAGGAAUUGACGGGGGCCCGCACAAGCAGCGGAGCAUGUUGUUUAAUUCGAAGCAACGCGAAGAACCUUACCAGGUCUUGACAUCCAGUAAAACCCGUAGAGAUACGGUGUGAGUUUGCUCAUACUGAGACAGGUGGUGCAUGGUUGUCGUCAGCUCGUGUCGUGAGAUGUUGGGUUAAGUCCCGCAACGAGCGCAACCCUUGUGAUUAGUUACUAACGCGUAAAGGCGAGGACUCUAAUAAUACUGCCGGGGACAACUCGGAGGAAGGUGGGGACGACGUCAAAUCAUCAUGCCCCUUAUGACCUGGGCUACAAACGUGCUACAAUGGCCACUACAGAGAGCUGCGAAGUCGCAAGGCUAAGCGAAUCUCAUAAAAGUGGUCCCAGUUCGGAUUGUGGGCUGCAACCCGCCCACAUGAAGCCGGAGUUGCUAGUAAUCGCGGAUCAGCAUGCCGCGGUGAAUACGUUCCCGGGCCUUGUACACACCGCCCGUCACACCAUGGGAGUUAAUAGCGCCCGAAGUCGGUGAGGCAACCGUAAGGAGCCAGCCGCCGAAGGUGAGAUCAAUGACUGGGGUGAAGUCGUAACAAGGUA
Molecule: ribosomal RNA, 1480 nt
Filed under: metagenome
Description: bacterial SSU rRNA
Rfam family: Bacterial small subunit ribosomal RNA
Source: RNAcentral